Molecule: ribosomal RNA, 253 nt
Filed under: uncultured bacterium
Lineage: Bacteria
Description: partial 16S ribosomal RNA
Rfam family: Bacterial small subunit ribosomal RNA
Source: RNAcentral
UACGUAGGGGGCAAGCGUUGUCCGGAAUCAUUGGGCGUAAAGAGCGUGUAGGCGGCUUGGUAAGUCCGCUGUGAAAGUCCAGGGCUCAACCCUGGAAUGCCGGUGGAAACUGUCAAGCUUGAGUCCGGAAGAGGCGAGUGGAAUUCCUGGUGUAGCGGUGAAAUGCGCAGAUAUCAGGAAGAACACCCGUGGCGAAGGCGGUUCUCUGGGACGGUACUGACGCUGAGACGCGAAAGCGUGGGGAGCGAACAGG